ACGUCACCUGUUGUCAUUUCAAGAUUCCGGUAAAUACGAGGUGACGUGAAUGCAGCUUUAAUCCACUGUCUGACAGUAGGUGGGGGCGGGGCUUAUGGAACAGCAGAAAUAGAGCGGUUUCCUUGGUAACAGCUGUACACAAUGGAGCGAUGCACUAAUAAACACUUCUUCUUUUUUUUAGGCAUUACAUGAAGAUUAGAAAGUCACUGCAUUCCUGAGCAUCCUGGACAGAUAAGUGCUUAUGUUUGGUUAUUAGUUUGGUUAUUUUUAGACCAACUUUUUUCAGUUCUUUGUUUUGCAGUAACGUUAGUUAGAUUUUAUUGAAGCAAGUGAAAAUGACCCUAAUUUGGGAAUAUGCUUUAUAUACGUUUGUUCUUCUAUUUAUUUCUUUGCAUGGCUAUUUCUAAAUACAAGACAGUUUGAUCUGCCACAAUGACUUGGUAAGAAAGAUCUUCUGACACUAACAAAAGGUAAUUCAAAUCUGAAUGUUUCGUAUAUAAAUACAUCAUAAAAAACUGAACUGUAUUAACAUGUUUUACAGUACAGAAUCACUGCAUUUCUAAACAUGUUAUUCUCUUCUGUUUCUUUUUUUGCAUUACUCUUUCUGUCUACAUGCCAUGGUUGAGCCAGAGCUGUCACAAUGGUAAAUGGCAAGAAACAUUUAACAGCAAUAAAAGGCAAGUCAAAUCUGCAGUAAAUGUUUUGUAUAUGAAUACAUCAAAAACUGUAUUAUCUUGUGUUAAAGUGCAGCAUGAAUCUUUUUUCUAGAAAAUCACUGCAUUUCUGAACAUGUUCUCCUAUUUAUUUCUUUGCAUGACUCUUUCCAACUUAAUGCUAUGGUUUGAUCUGCCACAAUGACAUGGUAAGAAACAUUGUGUGACAGCGAUAAAAGGCAAGUCUAAUCUGAAUGUUUUGUAGAUGAAUACAUCACAAAAACUGUAUUAACUUGUUUUAAAUUGCAAAAAAUCACUGUAUUUCUGAACAUGUUCUUCUCUGUUUUUUUCUUUGCUCUACUUUUUUCAACUACAUGCCAUAAUUCGAGCCAUUACAUGAACAAACAAGAGAUCUGUCUAUUCAUUAAGGUAAAUAUCUAUAAAAUUACAUGAAUACAGCAACAAUUAUUGACUUGUUCAAAUUUCACAAAAAAACAAAAAAAAAAUUUUUCCUGAAAAGAAUCUCUAAAUCAUGUUCUUUGUUUUUUUCUUUGUAUGAUUCUGUCCAUCUACAUGCCACGGUUUGAGCCGUCACAAUGGUAAAUGUGAACGAUCAUGUGAAUAAAAGGUCAGUCCAAUCUGAAUGUUUUAUACAUGAAUACAUCAGAAGUCUGUAUUAUCUUGUUUUAAAGUGCAAAAUCACUGUAAAAUUUUGAACGUGUUCUUGUAUGUUUCUUGCUUUGCAUUACUCUUUCUGUCUACAUGCCAUGGUUUGAGCCGUCACAAUGGCAAACAUGUAAGAAAGAUCAAGUGACAACAAAAAAUGCAAGUACAAUCUGAAUGUUUUGUAUAUAAAUAUCCAAAAUACUGGAA
Megalobrama amblycephala (Wuchang bream) is the source of this 1526-nucleotide long non-coding RNA. RefSeq lists it as uncharacterized. NCBI's taxonomy places the organism in Eukaryota, Metazoa, Chordata, Actinopteri, Cypriniformes, Xenocyprididae. The record is from RefSeq and is a predicted model, not a curated record. The transcript has 4 exons.